AGAGUUUGAUCCUGGCUCAGAAUCAACGCUGGCGGCGUGCCUAACACAUGCAAGUCGAGCGAGAAAGUGGGGGCAACUCCAUGAGUACAGCGGCGACCGGGUGAGUAACACGUGACUAACCUACCCUUGAGUGGGGAAUAACUCCGGGAAACCGGAGCUAAUACCGCAUAACACCGCAAGGUCAAAGGAGCAAUUCGCUUAAGGAGGGGGUCGCGGUUGAUUAGCUAGUUGGUGGGGUAAUGGCCCACCAAGGCGAUGAUCAAUAGCCGGCCUGAGAGGGCGCACGGCCACACUGGAACUGAAACACGGUCCAGACUCCUACGGGAGGCAGCAGUGGGGAAUUUUGCGCAAUGGGGGAAACCCUGACGCAGCAACGCCGCGUGGAGGAUGAAGGUCUUUGGAUUGUAAACUCCUUUCGAUCGGGAAGAUUAUGACGGUACCGGAAGAAGAAGCCCCGGCUAACUUCGUGCCAGCCGCCGCGGUAAUAC
RNAcentral lists this ribosomal RNA (488 nucleotides) under uncultured bacterium. RNAcentral describes it as "bacterial SSU rRNA". It matches the Rfam family "Bacterial small subunit ribosomal RNA", at positions 8 to 526 of the family's 1533-position model. The record is from RNAcentral.